RNAcentral lists this long non-coding RNA (1761 nucleotides) under Anas platyrhynchos platyrhynchos (common mallard). RNAcentral describes it as "lncRNA (ENSAPLG00000021487.1)". Lineage: Eukaryota; Metazoa; Chordata; Aves; Anseriformes; Anatidae. The record is from RNAcentral.
AUGGACCGAGGUGAGAUAAAAAAGAGCUUUUUCUGGCUGAUUCGUUGUGCUCCGAGGGCCUUUCCCUCUGGGCAAGCAGGGAGUGUGCCUCUUUCCUCGCUGUUAUUAAAAGUCAGGGCUAAAAUCCCUCUGGGAGCAGGGAAGGCAGAUAAUCCCCGCUCCUCCCGACCUUAUUUCCCUCCUCGCUUUGCAAGGUUAUUGCAGCUCCCCGGCAGUAGCUGCCCGGCACAAAAUACUCCUUCCUCUCCAAAAAAAAAGAAAAAAAAUAAUAAAUAUAGAUAUAUAUUUCCACCAAACACCCCCUCACAGCACCAAGCUCCCACCCCGUUCCCCCUCUGCAAGAACAAGCAGCUAAAAGCAGUUUGCUCUCCUCCAGCACCGCAGACAUCUUUCCCUGGGGCUGAGGAGCCGUGUGAUGAACUCCAGCAGCAGAGGGGAAUAGGAAUAUUUAUUUUUUUUUUCCUGGCUUCUUGUAAAAUACCCCCCAGACACAGGCUUUGCCACCCGAGCUCGGGCGCGCAAGGAUGGAGCCCGUGGGAGGGGGGCUGCAUGGAAACCCCUCCUGCUUUUGGCUGUGCCAGGCUAAUGGCUCGAAUUGCUGCGGAUUUGGGGCUGGGAUGUGGCCAUCCCCCGGCUGGCGGUGCCUUGUGCGUGGCUCCAGCUACCUCUAGUGGAAAGCAGACAAAAAAGCGGCCGCCCCCGGCUGCACGGCUUGCGCACGGAGGACCUCGUUGGUUUAUUUACCCCACCUGGCUUUGCAGCCACCUAAUUCGAAGCCUUGGUGAAUUUUUUUGGCUGUGAGACACACUCAAGCCAUCACUAGAUAAAAUCCCACAGCCAUCUAGCUCGGAAAAUACCCUCAGGGUCACCAGGUCCCACCACUAACCCAAGUCCCCCAGUGCCACGUCCACACAUCCCUCGAGCACCUCCAGGGCUGGGGACCCCCCUACUGCCUCCAGUGCUCAACCACCCUCUAAGUGCAGCAGCUGCCCUGAUUUUGGGAUAUUUUUCUCUUCCAGCAGGGCCAGGACCUGCUCAUCCUCCUGGGUGCCAAAGCUCUAUGUCAUUAUAGAUAUCAAGAACCAAAGAAGAACCACUCAUUGCAGCCCCAGCAGCUUGGGCAGCCUCUUGGCAGGGUUUUCUGAGUAUCCAGAAGGUUUUGUAAGCCCACACGGAGCAUCCCAGGGCCAUUUCCACAUGGCACGGGUGGGUCAGUCCCUCGAGGUCUGGCGGGGCUCAGAGGUCCCUGGAGGUCUGGCAGCUGCUCAUUGCAACAUGGCCAUAAACGGGGGAAAAUGGUAUUUUGGGGAGGAUUCAUCUGAAAACCGAACCAGCGCAAUUGUGCCCCAGUUUCAGCUCUCCCUGAAAAGUGCUGCAAAAAAAGGUUAACAAGCUCAAAGUGUCAGGGACAAGUGGGGCUGAUGGGAAGGAUUAGACGCUAAUGAGAGCCAUCUCCGAAGGCAUCCAUCACGCCGCUUUCAUGAGUUUCUUAAUGUGGUGGGAACUCUGCCACGGCUGGAUCCCUUUUAUUUAAAGCAGAGAUAAAAAGCCGGGGAGGCAUUAAUAUUAAUUAAGGAACCGACAUUUGCAGAAACUUUCCUUACCCCACGUCACACCCAGCUCUCUGUCCCACUCCAGCGAGCAACCAGAUUUUUUUUUUUUUUUUUUAAUUUUCCAGAAAGGGCUGAAUCUCUCGGCAGAAUUUAUGAGCCUUUGUCACUCGUGCUGUGACUUUCCUCCCGAAGGGCAGGAAGCAAAGAC